Molecule: long non-coding RNA, 569 nt
Filed under: Manacus vitellinus (golden-collared manakin)
Lineage: Eukaryota; Metazoa; Chordata; Aves; Passeriformes; Pipridae
Description: lncRNA (ENSMVIG00005015062.1)
Source: RNAcentral
GCAAAAUCUGAGAAGAGGAUGUAUUCUUAGCCGCAGGAAGAGAAUGGUCUUAAUCUGAAUGGUUAAUCAUGUCACGUGAAGAGAAAUACAUACUCACGCUGGAGGGGGAACUGCAGGGGCAGCAUGUACUGUUGGGAUCUUCUCACUGCUGCCAGAACCAAUGCUAGAUGGCUGCUACCAGGAUGUCUGGGGACCCUGAGGUACAGAUUGGACUUGCCAGGAACUGUAAGUGCUGUUUCGGCCAAGCCUGCUCAGAGUGAUAUGCUGCCAGGCAAGCAUGUGAGCUAUUCAUGGCUACAACAACAAGAUGGAUAAGCCCACUAUUAUUGUCUGUACAGAAAGUGAAGGGCAAGGAAUGUCUACUUGCAGAAGAAAAUGCGGGAAUGUUGUUGGAUUUUUUUCCCCAAGUUGGAUUCAGUGCAUAUCGUUUGGCUAAAGCUCAAUACAGACUAUGCAGAAAGCUGCUGUAUUCAUCCACUACCUUGCUGGAGCCUGGAUUUUCAUAGCAGCCUGCUGCCAGCACUGCUGAGGAGCAGGAUAUUUACUCAGUAUAUUACUUUUAUGCUUGU